This 603-nucleotide ribosomal RNA is filed under the name uncultured archaeon. RNAcentral's name for it is "bacterial SSU rRNA". It matches the Rfam family "Archaeal small subunit ribosomal RNA", at positions 319 to 923 of the family's 1478-position model. The record is from RNAcentral.
UCCCUAUGGGGUGCAGCAGGCGCAAAAACUUUACAAUGCGGGAAACCGUGAUAAGGGGACACCGAGUGCCAGCAACAUUUGUUGGCUGUCCAGGUGUGUAAACUACACCUGUUAGCAAGGGCCGGGCAAGACCGGUGCCAGCCGCCGCGGUAACACCGGCGGCCCGAGUGGUGAUCGUGAUUAUUGGGUCUAAAGGGUCCGUAGCCGGUUUGGUCAGUCCUCCGGGAAAUCUGACGGCUUAACCGUUAGGCUUUCGGGGGAUACUGCCAGGCUUGGAACCGGGAGAGGUAAGAGGUACUACAGGGGUAGGAGUGAAAUCUUGUAAUCCCUGUGGGACCACCUGUGGCGAAGGCGUCUUACCAGAACGGGUUCGACGGUGAGGGACGAAAGCUGGGGGCACGAACCGGAUUAGAUACCCGGGUAGUCCCGGCCGUAAACGAUGCUCGCUAGGUGUCAGGCAUGGCGCGACCGUGUCUGGUGCCGCAGGGAAGCCGUGAAGCGAGCCACCUGGGAAGUACGGCCGCAAGGCUGAAACUUAAAGGAAUUGGCGGGGGAGCACAACAACGGGUGGAGCCUGCGGUUUAAUUGGAUUCAACGCCGGAA